GGGGGAAAAACAACAGGGAUUGCCCUAGUAACGGCGAGUGAAGCGGCAACAGCUCAAAUUUGAAAUCUGGCCCUCGGGUCCGAGUUGUAAUUUGUAGAGGAUGCUUUUGGUGAGGUACCUUCCGAGUUCCCUGGAACGGGACGCCAUAGAGGGUGAGAGCCCCGUCUGGUUGGAUACCAAUCCUCUGUAAAGCUCCUUCGACGAGUCGAGUAGUUUGGGAAUGCUGCUCUAAAUGGGAGGUAUAUGUCUUCUAAAGCUAAAUACCGGCCAGAGACCGAUAGCGCACAAGUAGAGUGAUCGAAAGAUGAAAAGCACUUUGAAAAGAGGGUUAAACAGUACGUGAAAUUGUUGAAAGGGAAGCGCUUGUGACCAGACUUGGGCCCGGUUAAUCAUCCAGCGUUCUCGCUGGUGCACUUGGCCGGCCCAGGCCAGCAUCAGUUCGGUGCGGGGGAUAAAGGCUUUGGGAAUGUGGCUCCUCCGGGAGUGUUAUAGCCCACUGCGUAAUACCCUGCGCUGGACUGAGGUUCGCGCAUCUGCAAGGAUGCUGGCGUAAUGGUCAUCAGCGACCCGUCUUGAAACACGGACCAAGGAGUCGUCUUCGUAUGCGAGUGUUCGGGUGUUAAACCCCUACGCGUAAUGAAAGUGAACGCAGGUGAGAGCUUCGGCGCAUCAUCGACCGAUCCUGAUGUUCUCGGAUGGAUUUGAGUAAGAGCAUACGGGGCCGGACCCGAAAGAAGGUGAACUAUGCCUGUAUAGGGUGAAGCCAGAGGAAACUCUGGUGGAGGCUCGCAGCGGUUCUGACGUGCAAAUCGAUCGUCAAAUAUGGGCAUGGGGGCGAAAGACUAAUCGAACCUUCUAGUAGCUGGUUUCCGCCGAAGUUUCCCCUCAGGAAAAAGGUCAAACCCCUA
Molecule: ribosomal RNA, 908 nt
Filed under: Fusicolla melogrammae
Lineage: Eukaryota; Fungi; Ascomycota; Sordariomycetes; Hypocreales; Nectriaceae
Description: eukaryotic LSU rRNA
Rfam family: Eukaryotic large subunit ribosomal RNA
Source: RNAcentral